RNAcentral lists this ribosomal RNA (454 nucleotides) under uncultured Prevotella sp. RNAcentral's name for it is "partial 16S ribosomal RNA". It matches the Rfam family "Bacterial small subunit ribosomal RNA", at positions 341 to 792 of the family's 1533-position model. Lineage: Bacteria; Pseudomonadati; Bacteroidota; Bacteroidia; Bacteroidales; Prevotellaceae. The record is from RNAcentral.
ACGGGAGGCAGCAGUGAGGAAUAUUGGUCAAUGGGCGGAAGCCUGAACCAGCCAAGUAGCGUGCAGGAAGACGGCCCUAUGGGUUGUAAACUGCUUUUGUCAGGGAAUAAAAAGGAUUACGUGUAAUCCAUUGCAUGUACCUGAAGAAUAAGGACCGGCUAAUUCCGUGCCAGCAGCCGCGGUAAUACGGAAGGUCCGGGCGUUAUCCGGAUUUAUUGGGUUUAAAGGGAGCGCAGGCGGCGAUUUAAGCGUGUUGUGAAAUGUAGGAGCUCAACUUCUGCACUGCAGCGCGAACUGGAUUGCUUGAGUACGCGGGAAGUAGGCGGAAUUCGUCGUGUAGCGGUGAAAUGCUUAGAUAUGACGAAGAACUCCGAUUGCGAAGGCAGCCUACUGUAGCGUUACUGACGCUAAAGCUCGAAAGUGUGGGUAUCGAACAGGAUUAGAUACCCUGGUA